GAUGAACGCUAGCUACAGGCUUAACACAUGCAAGUCGAGGGGAAACGGCAUUAAGUGCUUGCACUUUUUGGACGUCGACCGGCGCACGGGUGAGUAACGCGUAUCCAACCUUCCCAUGACUAAGGGAUAACCUGCCGAAAGGCAGACUAAUACCUUAUGGUCUUCACUGACGGCAUCAGAUGUGAAGUAAAGAUUUAUCGGUUAUGGAUGGGGAUGCGUCUGAUUAGCUUGUUGGCGGGGUAACGGCCCACCAAGGCAACGAUCAGUAGGGGUUCUGAGAGGAAGGUCCCCAACAUUGGAACUGAGACACGGUCCAAACUCCUACGGGAGGCAGCAGUGAGGAAUAUUGGUCAAUGGGCGAGAGCCUGAACCAGCCAAGUAGCGUGCAGGAUGACGGCCCUAUGGGUUGUAAACUGCUUUUGUAUGGGGAUAAAGUCAAUCACGUGUGAUUGUUUGCAGGUACCAUACGAAUAAGGACCGGCUAAUUCCGUG
Molecule: ribosomal RNA, 492 nt
Filed under: uncultured bacterium
Lineage: Bacteria
Description: partial 16S ribosomal RNA
Rfam family: Bacterial small subunit ribosomal RNA
Source: RNAcentral